Amborella trichopoda is the source of this 2113-nucleotide non-coding RNA. The record is from RefSeq and is a predicted model, not a curated record. Lineage: Eukaryota; Viridiplantae; Streptophyta; Magnoliopsida; Amborellales; Amborellaceae.
UAUGAGUCGUGUCCAUCCAGGAGGUCCUCAAGACCCUAGUUUGCUAUAGCUUCACCCAGAACGUUCAUCAUAUUUCAUAUGAGAAGGACAUGUAUCUGCAUAUAUUCAUUGGCUCUUUCCAUUAGUUUGUUAUUUUUUAAUAAAUUGUAGUUUGUUUCAACAUCAUAUGGUAAAUACAUGUGUAUAUUUAUUAUGACUCAUAUGUUUUCUAUUUGUUGUAUUUCAGGAAAAACAAGAAAUUAGAAUCGAUGAGAAGACUUUUCAAUUGAACGAUUGGCAUCUAACCGAUGACCAAGUUCAAUUAGUGAAUGCGUUUGGAUUGGGUGCUCUAUCUAUCAUCCAAUCAGGUCGAAUUAAUCAUCCUUUGGUCGCAGCCAAUGUAGAGAGGUGGCGUUCCAAGACAAAUUCAUUCCAUUACAACAUUCAAAUUGGUGAGAUGAUACCAACUUUAUUUGAUGUAUACGAGAUUCUAAGACUGACUGUGGAUGGUGAGUCUGUUACAUGUCGUCCUAUUAGUGACCUCCGGGAGUUCAUAGAAAACAAUUUGGGUAUAGUCCCCACUGGAGGCAACCUGACAACCAUUAAGCAUUCAUGGUUAAAGAAAAAUUUUAGGCAAUUCCACCUGAUGCAACCCCUGUGGAAGUACUCAGAUAUACUUGAGCCUAUCUGCACUUCCUCAUUAGCGUUACCAUUUUCGUUGAUGCGUCAGUUGCACCAGUGCUAACGAGAUACUUGCAAUUCUUUGAAGAUAUUGAGGAAGCUGGGGGAUAUGCUUGGGGUGCUGCAACCCUCGUAUUUCUUUAUCAAUCCCUUGGAAAAGCUUGUACAUUCAAGCGAAGACAUUUUAGUGGCUCAGCCACUCUUAUUCAGUGCUGGUCUUAUGAGUAUAUUAUGCAUAUGAGGCUCAUACCACAUAGUAUCUCUCCAAAUAUGCCUAGGGCAAAGAGAUGGGAGCCACUAAAGAACUAUUAUGGCAAUCCACAUAACAUGAUGCCUCCCAUUAGACAAGAAUUGGAUAGCCUCCAACCUAAUGAGGUAAUAUGGAAUCCCUAUUUCAAGCUUGAUGAUGCCAUUUCAGAAGAUAGGCAUCAGACAUUCGAAACUGCAAUAUGAAUAACGACGCUUAUCUUUGACGAUAUUGUCGAGCCGUACAUGCCACAUCGUGUUUGCCGGCAAUUUGGAGCUAAACACGACAUUCUAAGAAAUCCCACAUCUGUUGGUAAGAGAUUUAGCAGACAUGUUGGGCAGCGAGAUUAGCGAAAUGUCAAUUCAGAUAAAAUCCAUAAUUAUUUGUCUCGUCAUGAUCACAUGAUAGCAGACAUUGAAAUCGAUAUUGCCAAUGGGUUGCCCUCAGAGGAGUACAAAGUCUGGUACAACCAAGUGUCCUAUCCUAUAAUACAUAAUGUCUUUAAUCCACCAAAAGACAUAUUGCAACCUUAGAACCAAGAAGAAGAAGAGGUGGUUCUUGAACAUGAACCACAGUAUAUAAUGAGACCUCGAGGAUAUGAGGAUCAGUUGGUAUCUUUAUAUUAACCGAUAACUUGUUUUCGUUUUGUACUUGCUUAUCAAUUGUUAUGUUUAUAUUAACCUACAAAUUGUUUUUGCAGGUUAGUGCAGAUCAGGCUAGUACAACCAUGUUAGCAGAGGCACUUACACUUAGACAAAAGUGGUUUCUUGAAGUUUAUAAUCACGUUAACAACGCGUUUGAAAUGCUGUCUAAGUUUGUGCCUGUCGACAUAGUUGAUAUUGAAGCCAGGAUGGAAAUUUUACGUCAAGUUAAUAAUGAAGUUGUAUAAGAAGAGGGCGGACAAGAUGUAAUGGGUGACAGUAGACAGCCUUCAGAAGACUUAGCUCCAUCCACACAACCUACAGUUGAAGAGCUCAGAAGACAUAACACACGAAAGAAGCAGUAUUAGGCGAAGGGAAAGCGACUAGUGUAAAUGUCUUAUUUGGCAAUGUAAUGGCCAUUGAAUACAUUUGUAAUGUAUUGAAUACAUUUGUAAUGUUAUGAAAGGAUAAUGUAUUGGUCAUUAAAUGUAAUGGUCAUUGAAUACAUUUGUAAUGUAUUGAAUACAUUUGGUAAUCCAUUUUGGACUGUUUCAUGAUUCCUUGA